GCUAAAAAUUUUGGCAGCCAAGGAUCCAUCUGCACUUGGUCUAGACACCUAUUACAAGCAAUAUUAUCUAUGUUUGGCUGCUGCUGCAGCUACUGUCAAAUGGUAGUGUGCAACUUUUCUAUCCCAUAACUUGAAUUUUAUUUUUUUACAUGUUUGGAGGAGUGUUGCUCUUUGGGUUACAAGAAUGCGACUGCAACUUUUCUGCUGCUGCAUUUUCUGUGAGGACAGAAGCAGAGAAAGGGGUUAUUGUUACAAACCACUCAUUGUUGGUCACGUUUAAUGGCUCAUUUGACCAUAUGAUUAUUGACUCUACUAGGUAUCCUUUUUGAAAAAUAACCUCUUCUUUUCAGUUGCUGGUUUUUUUUUUCCAUUCGUCCAUAAAGUAGGGUUGAAAUGCAGUUUUGCUCCAAUAUCUUUGUUCAAAUGAUAUUGCAUUGGCAGGAGUCGAAAAUGCACAUCAUUAUGCUUUAUAUUACAAUAACAAUUCGAAUUUUCUUUAUGGAUCUUAUAAUUGAAAUAUGCAUAACAGUGUACAGAACUUGGAAAUCAUUGAGCCACUACAUUCAACCCUUUGGGGAACAAGCAACAAAAAAAGAAGUCUAUUUCACAUGCUUAAGACAACAAUAACUGUUGGAGUGUAUGUUGAUUGGCUGUCUAGUUGUUUUUUUUCUGUCAUUUUAGCUUGAGUUUCUGAGGUUUGUCAUUUAUAAGGAACUAGAAAGCUAGAUUCUGGGGAAAUUUUUGCACUUCAACCAGCAAGAAAAUGGCUGGGACACAUGUCAUAUAUGCUAUGAGAUAAUGUUAUGUAUAGUUGUUCCAUUCACCUGCUUUAUUUCAUUGUAUUUCAUUCCACCUACUUUAUUUUGCACUCUUGUAAAACUUCAUCCCUAUUUCUCUCAACCCCUUAAAAGAGAGAGUCAUUGGUUGUGUGGAUGUAUGUCAAAAUUGUUAUGUUUGUUUUGACUUCUUGUCCCUGGAUGAAGAAUAACUCUAGUGCCCUACUUAGCUCUAUGUCAU
Macadamia integrifolia is the source of this 1017-nucleotide long non-coding RNA. RefSeq lists it as uncharacterized. NCBI's taxonomy places the organism in Eukaryota, Viridiplantae, Streptophyta, Magnoliopsida, Proteales, Proteaceae. The record is from RefSeq and is a predicted model, not a curated record. The transcript has 3 exons.